GUUGAUUGCCUUUUAAACAACCUGAAGAAGUUCCAAAUCCUCCACUCAGAUUCACUAGCUUCUGUCAUGGACAAACUUCAAUUAAUUCAGAAGGAAUUUGAGAACUUGCAACCUUUUCUACAAGUUGUUGCAGAAGAGCGACACAAUGAUCUCGACGAAAUUCAACAUUGUGCUACACAAUUGAUUGGCAAAGCACAUGAGGUGGAAUAUAUAGUUGAUGCUUGAAUAAGCAAAAAAGCUCCUGAACUCCCAUCUUGUUGGUGAGACUUUGAUUCCCCACAUUGUGAUUCUUCCUCAUUUCCCCUUCCCUUACCAAUUUUUUUUUUUAAAAAUAAAAAUUUAAAAUAACAAUACAGUACAAUAUAAUUGAUAUCAACCAUCCAAACAAGGUGCAACGGGUUGUCUGGUAGCUGUAUGAGAAACAAAUUAUCCAUAUGUUAAUUUUCGUAUAAUUUAUAUGAUGUUUCAUAGGUAGAUAAAUUAUAACUUCGUAUAAUUUAAAGACUAACUUUUGACUCAUAAGUUAAAAAUUAUAACUUGUGAUUUUUUUAACAUUUUACCUUAAAAUUAAGUGCUUAUAAGCACUUUAAUAGUUUACCUAAAUUAACACUUCAAAAGUCAUGUAUAAGAACAAUGUUAAAUAAAAUGUAUUAGUAAUGCUUGCAUCAAUUAUACAUAGAUUAUUUUUAUGCAUUGUUUUGGUUUGAUGCAUUAAAAAUUUACAAAGAUAUGUUUCACUAUUAUGAUGGAAAAGAUGUAAAAGAAAAAAAAGAUUUUGAGGGGCAAUUGAGUGAUUAAACAUGCUAAUGCAUGCAUUAAAACGAUUGCAUUGCGAAUAUUUAGAAAUCCAUGGUAUUAGUAAUACACAGUUAUACAUAGAUUAGAAAAGAGUAGCAAACAAAGUAGUAGUAAUAGACAAGGGUAAUGCAUGCAUUAUUUUUCUAAAUAACGACAACUAAAGGCGAGAAUGGAUAAUAAGUAGCAAGUAGAGGUCAUAGCAUAGAGUCUAUUCUGGCAGGCAAUCUUGUGAAGAAAUUGAGUGGAGCAGAUGGUAGGUUGUGAUGGAACCAUGGAUGUCUUAACACAUAAAAUCCAGUGACAAGAAUCACAACUCGAAAACCCAUGAAAUAGAGAACAAUGACAGCAAUCAAGCAGGAAAUAACAAACAGUUUGGUCGCUCUAGGGUCUCUCCAUGACAGCAAAGAGUCCAGCCUCUCCAGUUGAUUAGCUAUGUCACCAGCCACGUUCUGAAUACUUCCAGCAAUACUUUUCAAACGGUCAUACCUUAUCCGAACAAUAUCAGUUGGACGUAAAGUAGGGAAAGUAUCAAACUCCUCGUCCAGUUCAUCAGGAUGAACAUCAUCAGCACAAGAAAGACGAAUGUCCAUGAAGGGAGGAUGCCUAGGCCUAUAUCUAUAGUUCCAAACUACGAUUAAGGAGAGCGAGAGGAAAAUGGUAGGCAGAAUACACUCCGGAUAUAGAACUAGUAUCAAAUACAAGACAUGGAUCACAAGAGUCGUAAUGGGAUUUUUCCAAUUGCAAAUUUGAUCAAACCAUUUCCAAAUAGCAAUUAAUCCACCUAAAAACAUCCAUAAUUCUUAAAAAGUUGGCUCUGAUUUUCCUCAUACUCCACAUGUCAGACUUGACAUCUAACAUAUACUCCACUAUCUCUUUCCUCAAAGGCGGCUCAGCACGACUCAACCACAUAGAGACCAUCUGACUAGCCUGACGCCUCAAUUUGUCCAUCUUAGUUUGUCUGUCAUUCCAACUACCUUCAACAAUUAGUGGAUGAAUAUAGUGCAUCUUGGGUAACAGCGGCUGAGAGAACAAAUGCAUCAUAUUCAUUAACGAUGAGAAAGUAAACCUAACUGCCAAGUGAAUUUCGCCCAUCUUCUUUACCCCAGUAGAUUCAAAGACCAAUAGCGGAUAAGAAUUUGUGUAGACACAAUCUGUCUCGAGAGCUGAAAGACGGAUCCUGACCUUUCCAAUCCUCGAGUCCCUAGCCCGGCCUCCAGGUUUAUCUCCUCCAUGUAGAUGACAAUUAUCAAAUACACCAAUGGUUAUGACAGUGCAGGGAUCAAAUACUUCCCAAGUGUAUUGCUCGUUCCACCUGGGAGCAAGGCUAUCUAUAAUUGUCCUUGUUCGGGCCCACUUGUGCCCAUAUUUGACAACACAAUAGGCAUUUGUCGAAACCCUCCCAUCCUUUGUUUUCAUCGGCGGUAGUCCCUGAGCAUUCAGAAUACCCAAUUCUAGGACACCAAUGCUGGAUUUCUUCAACUGUUUUGCAGUUGGUCUAAUAUCACCACUGUAGUUUGUUGGUUCAUAAAGAACAUGGUAGCCUCCUUCUAAAACUAGGCUCAUGUGAAUCCUGCUUGCAAAGUUUGUUUCCUUCUCCUUUUCUCCCUCAACAAUAACAUGCUUUUCAAGAUUAUACCACUUGCUGUUCAUAGGUCUGUGGUCCAACCUCCUCUCAAUGUACUGCAAAUGAAUAAGACAUUUUCCAAGUAUUACAUCUUUGUUUGGUGCAACUCUAUCUUCCACGCUCAAAAUCAAUGGCUCCUCAAAUGGUUCUGCUGCUACAAAAAUCAAAUCCUCAUUCCACAUGGGAUUAAUAGUCUUGCUCCUGGAAACUUUGGUUAUCAAUUCCUGAUUUCCGAGGAUGGCCUUCACGUAAACUUCUGGAAACCUACUUCUGUCACUGGAAAUUAAGUCCUGAGCCUCAAUCACAUUAACUCUAAGGUACCACAGCUUUGGUGAGAGGUAAACCUUAGACCUUAUAUUCGCAAGAGCAUCAGCACCACUGACAGUGGCUGCAUCCGAAUGCCAAGAUUCUGCAAAGGCUUCAUCAGCUCGAGUACCCAUCCAAACAGUCAUCAUCAACUCUCCGUUAACUUUGCUACGACUUCCGUCCUCCAAUCUAUACCACAGCGGAACAAAAGGACUAUCCGGGGGGACCCUUUUAGGGAUCUCAUUCAAAUCAAACAUAACACGACCAACAGAAUCAUCCUUAUCUUUCACGUUCACCUCAAGAACGGAAACCUGAGUCUGAUCCAUUGGAAAUGCAAACACCUGCUUCCAUUCAGGAUUCGUUUUCUUCACAAAAUGACGAGUUGUACCACUAUAGUUUCCCAGCCUAACCUCAACGUAAGGAUUAAGAUCCUUCCCAGGUAAAUAUUUCGCCUUCACCACCCGGACAUAAAGAUACUGCAUUUGCUCAACCAAAUCACAGAGCCAAGUAAGCAUAUCACCAGUAAUCUUCCCUUCUACUUCUCCACCACAAUUUAGCCAAAUGUCCAACAGAUAACAAAAAAAAUCCUAAAUAAUAUCUCUGAGGAACAACUCAAAACUACACUAAUACUCAAGAAACUUCAUAUAUAACACAAUCCAAGUUUGUUUUAUCCUAAUUCUAACUUAAGGUUUAAAAAGAACCUCAUGAAGGAUAACCCCAAACUGCCAAAAUCAUUCACAAUCUCAGAUCUGGUUCAGCUGAAUGCUUCACCCUGCAAAACAUUUUUUAAGCUUAAAAAACCAUAUUUAUACAAAUAAGAUAUAGCAAGUACAAUGAAUAAAGUUUAUCAACAAACUCAAAGGUGGUCAGGUGAACACCCUUCACCGAAAAAUUAUAUCGUGUAUAUAAGUAUAAAUUGUUAAAUAUCACACUUUGCGAACAGUUUUGGGCUAAAAUCAUCCUUGAAGUAUAACCCAAACUUAGUAUACAUCCUUAUACUAUAAUUAUGAACAAAAACAUCUUUUAACUAUACCAAACUUGACAACAAACAUCCUUCUGUUAAUUUUUGUUAAAAACCUAAGAGCUGAAAUUAAAAAAAUGUGUCACUGACAAUACUAAGUUGCCUUGUCUUCAAGUUGGAAAUACAAAACAACAAAAAUAUACUUAGGACCUGUUUAGAAGGACACCCUGGUAAUUGGAUUUGGUGUAAUUGAAUGUAAUUACAUUGUCUGUCCUGUUUGGUUGGACAGGUAAUUAGUAGGUCAAUAGGUAAUGGGUGUAAUUGGUAGGGUAAUUACACUCUACAAUUCACAAGCAGAGGUUGUGAAGUGUAAUUACCAGCUGAUUACUUUUUUAAAAAAAAAUUUAUUUCUAUUUUUAUUUUUUUGUUUUAAUUUUUUUACUUCUAUUAUUUUAAGUUUUUAUUUUAUUAUUAUUCUAAAAAAAAUUGAAAAUUUAUUUUUUAUUUUAUAUUAUUAUAUUUCAUUUUCUUCUUGUUCUCAACCUUACUUUACAUGAUUUUAUGCAUUUUUUUCGUAUUAUCUAUUUAUUUAUGCCAUGCUUAUUUUCUCAUUAGCAUAAUUUUAUUAGUAUUCUAAUUUUUAAAUUAAAAUAGAAUUUAUUGUUAAGUAAGGUUAAAGACUUACGUUUUCUUUUUUAAGAAAAAAAUAAAAAUAAAUAUAUUUAUGCAUGCUAUGUUCAAAUUUGCUAUAAGAGUAUCAUGUUAAAUUUUUUGUUUUGAAUUUAUAACUUAUGUUAUAUUUUCAGUUUCAUUUGUUUUAGUAAUAUUGAAUUCAUAUUGCACGUCAUUUUUUAAUUAAACUUGAUAGAUUAUCUUUUUGUCAAACAUUUAAUAAUUUAUGACAUUUUAUUUAUAUAUUAAUCUUUUUUAUCAAACAUGCAUUUCACGAUGUUCGUAGAAACUUCAUACUUGUAGUUUCUACGAUCAAUUCAAUUGAAAUAUAUUAAUUUGAAAAAAAUAAAUCAAUUAUUUUUUCAUAAUAUAGGUUAAAGAAUAUAUGUUUUAUAUCUUAAUUAUUUAAUUUAAUGUCAUUUAUAAAGUUUCUUAUUUGUCUAGUAUCAAUUUUUAAAUAAUUAAUUUUUUAUUUUUUAAAAAUUUAAUAUAAUUUUAUGAUUGCAAUUGUCCAUCCAAACAGAACAUGCGUAAUUACACUGUGGCAUCCAAACAGGACAUGUUACCAUAUAUUGUGGCAACCAAACAAGUCAGUGUAAUUACUAGACAGUGUAAUUAAUAGGAUGGUAAUUACUACCCUAGUAAUUACACCAAUUUCAAUUACCAGGUGGCUUUCCAAACAAACCCUUAGUAAAACAACACCAAAACCAACUGAGGCACACAAAGACAAGUUAUAGAAACCAGCCCUAGCUUCAGUUAUUCUUGAAAACAACUUAUUUGGUUGCUAAAGUUUAGAAGGACAGAAAAUUUUGUUUUUGAAGCCAAAAGCUCUGCUAAAUAUGGAAGAUGAUCCGGUGGGAAUUGAGAGGAAAUCAAUUCGAUAGAAUAUGGAGAUUUUGGGAAGUCACAUAUUUUUAUUUCAACUUUUCGUUUUUUAACAAAAGUUAACACAAGGAUGGUUAUUGCAAAGUUUUGGGUAGGUAAAAUUGUGAAAUUAGGUAUUAGACUUAACUCACACCUCAAAAACUAACAAAAGUUAACAGAAAGAUGGUUAUUGUAAAGUUUUGGAUAGUUAAAAUUGAAGUUUACAGAAGGAUGGUUAUUGCAAAGUUUUGGAUAGUUAAAAUUGUGAAAUUAGGUCUCAGACUUAACUCACACCCCAAAAGGAGGAGGAUUGCACAAGUUGCGUGGGCAAUUUUGGACAAUUUUGUUUUCGGGAAAAUUGUAUAAAAUAAAAAACUAUUAAUUUAAAUUAAAUGUUGUAACCAAAGUUUGAUUUAAUUGUAACCCGUAGCAAACAGUUGUCAUUCGCCUCUCUCCUUAGAUUUCUCGCUCGCCAGUCUCUCCCUCGCCUCUCUCACUUUAUACAAACACAAAUGUAUAAAUUGCGUUUGUGUUUGUAUAAAGCGAGAGAAAACUACAUAUACAAAUACAUAUAUUUUCGUCUUAUACACUUCUAAUUAUACAAAUACAGAUCUUCCUCAGUGCAGUUCUCUUCUGCCUUUCUCUCUUUCUCGCUUUUGUAUAAAGCGAGAGAGAGAGAUUUGAUAAACAAAUGUGUUUUAUUUCGAUUCAAUUGUAUACAAAUUCAAAUUUUAUGCAGAUAUGCAAACACAUAGAAUUGAAUUGAGAGGCUGCCAACGAUUUAUACAAACGAGAGGCUGCCAGCGAUUUAUACAAAUGAGAGGAUGCCAAUGAUACAAAUCUGAUGCUUCAUAGCACUCUAUAGCUACAACUUACAAAUAUAAUUUUUAUAUUUGCUAAUCCUAAAAUUUACUCUUUUUUAUUAUUUUUUUGGGCCCCAACAUAAGGUGAGAUGGGUCCUGCUCUGAUAUCAUGUGAAAUUAGGUUUUAGGCCUAACUCACACCUUAAAAGUUAGCUCAGAGGAAGCAAGAUUGACCAAGCCUUAUAAGUAGUUCAUCCAUCUCAUUAACCACAAAUGUGAGACUUUUUGCUUUUAACAAAAAUAUGUUUUUUUGAUUCGCAAUUAUAGUAUAGGGAUUUAUCCUAAGUUUGGGCUAUAAUUCAAGAGUGAUUUUAGCUUAAAAGUCCCCUUAACAACAAGGUGGUACAUCCCAGUGGUUAAAGGCUCUACGGAAAUGCCCAGACGUAGUGUGAGCGUUAAAUUACUUUCUAAAUAAUAGUUAAUAAAUUCGUUAUUUUUGAAAUAAUUCAAAUUUCAAUGAAUUUGACUUUGACUUUGACUUUCCAUUUCUUUUCAUUAAAAAUUUAAAAUAAAACUUAUACAUAAUUAUUUAAUUUAAAGUUAAUAAGCAACUUCUAAAAAAAUUCUAUAUCAUUGCUAAAAUUGAAUAAAAGAAGACCUCGUUUGAUUCUGCUUCCUUUUUCAUGUUUCGUUGUUAUUGUUGUUUUCAUCAAGGUCGAUGAAAGCUUGAAAUGUAAAAAUGAUUUCAUUUUAAGUUGAAUUUACUCCUACUCCCUCCUUUUAUUUUUCUGCUAUUUUGUUCACUUUAUAUCAAAUUAAACAAAAACAUUAUACAAUUUGAUUUUCAAAAUUUUGGUACGUUUAUUCAUACAAAAAUAUUAUUAUUACGCAGUGUGAAUUUAAAAUUUUUAGUGCACCCAUUCAUCAAAAAAAAAAAUUGCUUAUGUUAUUUUUGAACAUGCUUCAUGAAAUUUCUAAUUCCCCACUUAGCCAACUCAAUCAAAAAAUACCCUUCUCCCAUACCAUAAAAAGAGGGAAAAAAUAAUUAAAACUUGCUAAUCUCAAGAUUAUAGCUCAACAAAUACCAAGAACGUCAAAAAAAAAAAAGAUUUUUCAAAAAGAUAUUUAUAAGUAACUUAUAAAUUCGAAACUAAAAAUUAUAAAUCGGUAACACUUAACUUUUGACCCUUUUUUUGGGGUGUGUUGUCAGCCUUAAAGCUUUUUGCGUUUACAAAUACUUCUAAAACUUAAAAGAAAAAAAAGAAGAAGCUAAAUAUCACUUAAAAUAAGCUAAUUCAUAUACACUUGUUUAAUUUUUCUACAUGAAAUAAAUAAAUAUUAAUUAAGAGAAAUGAAUAUACCUUGAAGGAGGGUUCAUGGGAGGUGAGUGCAAGAUGGUAUUUUUGCUGAUAAGUUUCUAAAGAUUGGAAUUUUGAGUAGAAAAUAACAAUUAGGUUUUGGUUGCUUUUUGGUAUCAAAGUGAGGGAGAAUGGUUAAGAGAGAGAGAAAAAAAGUGAAGAGACAACGAAAAAUUAUAUGAUGGGUUUAACAUGGUAGGUGAGGGAUUAUUUUUUAAUAAAAAAUGUGUGUGCCUAGAAAUAAGUUAUAAAUAAUUUUUUAGAGAUAAAAAACCAUCCUUACCAACGGAUCACUUAUAGUUUCAGAUCUAUACCAAUGCUCUAUCACAAAUUCUCCCAACUGGCGGCGGCAAUCCGGUGGCAAAUCGAUGGUGGACUGGUAAUUUAUGAUUUCAUUAUGUAUUAUUGAGAUGCGAAAUUUUUUGAAUAAGUAUCCUACAUCUAAUUAAAGUGAUGAUUUGGAGUUGAAUAAUUAAAAUUUAAUUACAAACAAAUAAGACUAUUAAACAUAAAAGCAGUAGUUCAUUUUUUCCUAAUUUUGGAUAUAAGAAAAAUAGAAAAUCAUAAUUUUGGAUAUUCUAGAGUCUUUUAGUGAAAGAUAAAAAGUUCAAGUAUUUCUGAGUCUUAGCACUUUUAGUUAUGUGAUUAUAGAAAGAUUUUAAUUAUGAGAUAGAUUUGAUAUGACGGGGAAAUUCUUCAAAUAAGAUAGGUAAAACGCUCUCUUCGAAAGAUACAUACACUACAUCAAAAAUUAUAUUUAGCAACAAUUAGAUAAUGGUAAUAGUUUAAUUGCCGCUACAUAGAUAUAGUUUUAGACACUCUUUGUAAAUGUAUCUAAAGCCUAUAGCGACAUUAGAUCUAAUAAUAAUUAACUAAUGUGAGUAAAGACUUUAACACUCUUUAUUAAUGUGUAUAUUCCGUUAAAAGUAGUUGUUUUUUUUACAGUGAUACUUGUACUGCUUCUACCUCUCAAGGACUUACUAAUAUGUAUAUUUAUUGCGGCUAAAAGUUAUUUUUUGUUGUAUUGAUACUUGUACUGCUUCUGCCUCUCAAGGACUUUAUGCAUUGAACUUCCUUUAUAUCUUUAGUAUAAACAACUAUCUGUUGGUUGCAAUCAGUAUGAAAGCAUCUGAGUUGCUCUCUCCUUCUUCCUCUUUGCAGAAGCAUCACAGAUUCUUUUAGUCACCAACUCACUGAGAGAAGAGAUGAAUUGGGAAAAUUCGCAACGACUUUUCAAUAUUGUAACCAUCCCUAAAAUUUCGAUAGACAAAACUCCAGCUCUUCACACUGGAACGCGAAUUCCACAAAAUUUUCAUUAGCUUGCAGAGAUUCACAGAUGAACCUAACAUGCUAGAUGUCAACUCAGAAAGUCCAAACUCUGUUUGAAGAUGCUGCAUUUAUCCUUUCUCCACUGUACCUAACUGACAACUUUGAUGUCUGUGCCUCUGAGGUGCAAAACAAGAUUUUGUUGAUCAAGAAGGAAAUAAGUGCCAAAUACUCCUUUCCUAAAAUAUCAUUACAACUUUCAGCCAAGUUUGUUAGUGAUAUCAUCCAUUCUGUGCUAGAGAAUAUUGGUGGUCUAGUGAAGAUUCAUGAUCCAUAUUCACCUCUUUAUGUUCCCGAAACAGUAGUGGAACAUAUAGAAGAUGUUUCAAUGGAAUUGAAUUUGCUGCUAAAUUUCGUCUACUUUGUUUCAGAGAGGUUCCUAGAGAAUCAGAGCCAACAUCAUAUUAUUUUCUUCACUCAUGUUUUAGCUGUGUCUGUCCACACAUCGAUGCUUCUCUGGUUGUAUUUACCGGACUUGGAUCCUGAGCAAAUGAAUGUUAUGCUUUCUGAUUUCUUGCGAAUGAGGAUUAAGCCGAUUCAACCAUGCAUCUGCAAGAUCUAUCUUGAUGUCUUGCUAUCAUUAAAGUCGACAAUACAAUCAGGAUGGUAUCCCAACAUCCGAAAUGAGGAUGCAGUUGACAGCGAAGGGGGAUUUUUGGAGUACCAUCCUACACAAUAUGGUGGAGGUACCAACUAAUAGUAACUCUAGUCAGAGAGUUGCUUUGAAGGAUCACUUGGAAAUCCUUCAAAAGAUGCUCAACCUUUUUGAGAGCCAAUAUCUUCCGUGUGCCAAUAAAAGAUCUUGAAUUUCUCUUCGAGAUAUAGAGAUUUGUGGUUAUUGAUUGUUGGACUUCUGGUAUACUCAUUAUAUGAAGAUGAGGAGGAGAAGGAAGACAUGGCACCAGGAGGAGUGAACAUCCCACAAUUUCUUGAUUUGUCAAGCAACAUUCAACGUCUAAGCAUAGACAUCUACCUCACCAUUCGGAAGGCGUUCCAAUCUAAUUUGCCUAGGAUUCAUGGACUAGGCUAUGUUGAUUGCCAUUUAAACAACCUGAAGAAGUUCCAAAUCCUCCACUCAGAUUCACUAGCUUCUGUCAUGGACAAACUUCAAUCAAUUCAGAAGGAAUUUGAGAGCUUGCAACCUUUUCUACAGGCUGUUGCAGAAGAGCGACACAAUGACCUCGACGAAAUUCAACAUUGUGCUACACAAUUGAUUGGCAAAGCACAUGAGGUAGAAUACAUAGUUGAUGCUUGUAUAAGGGAAGAAGCUCCUGUCUGGUGCCUCGAGCAUUGGAUCAUACAUAUCAUGGAGGAGAUUACUCUUAUCAGAGAAGAGGUAGCAGAGAUCCGUGAAAAGAAAAUGGAUUUGGUAGCAUUGAACACUGUCCCAGUUCAUACAUCAAAUUUGGCAAGGUCUCCAAUGAUGAAUGAAGAAAUUAUUGGUUUUGAGGAUGUCAUAGAAAAGUUAAGAGACCAACUAAUAAAAGGCAAGAAAGGGCGCGAUGUUAUGUCAGUUGUUGGUAUGCCAGGUCUAGGCAAGACAACUUUGGCCUACAGACUCUACUAUGACAAGUCAGUCGCUUCGCACUUUGAAAUUCGUGCACAGUGUUGUGUGUCUCAAGUAUAUUCACGUAAGGACUUGUUAAUAGCAAUUUUACGUGAUGCUAUCAGUGAGAACUUUGAGUGUAGAGAAAAACAAGCUGAUGAAUUAGCUGAUCUUCUUCGCAAAACUUUAUUUUCCAAAAGAUAUCUCAUCCUUGUUGAUGAUGUGUGGGAAACUAGUGUGUGGGAUGAUCUAAGAGGUUCUUUCCGUGAUUCCAAUAACGGAAGUAGAAUUAUUCUAACAACGCGGGAUCAUGAAGUUGCCAUGUACACUAAAAUUCGAAGUGAUCCCCUUCUGCUUCGUAUGUUUAACAGUGAUGAAAGUUGGGAGUUACUCCGAAAAAAAGUGUUUGGUGAAGAAAGUUGCUCUCCACUCCUAACAGAAAUUGGGCAACAAAUAGCAAAUAAGUGUGGUCAACUGCCUCUUUCAGUUGUUUUGGUGGCUGGUAUUCUGGCUGAGAUGGAGAAGAAAGUAGAAUGUUGGGAACAAUUGGCCAACAAUUUAGGUCCUCACAUUCACAAAGACUCAAGGACCGUUAUAGAACAAAGUUAUCAGAUUUUACCCUAUCGUUUGAGGCCUUGCUUUCUUUACUUUGGAGCACUUUUAGAGGAUAGUGUGAUUAGUGUUCCAAAGUUAACACAGUUGUGGAUCUCAGAAGGAUUCGUAAAAAGUUGUGAAGGCAAGAGAUUGGAGGAUAUAGCAGAAGGCUAUUUGGAAAAUCUUAUUGGAAGAAAUCUAGUGAUGGGAACCAAGAGGAGUUCUCGUGGUAAGAUCAAAGCAUGUCACAUUCAUGACCUAUUGCAUGAUUUCUGCAAGGAGAGAGCAAAGGACGAUAUGCGUCUCCUAUGGCAAAAAUGGUAAUAUACCAAUCAUUGCUACUCUUUUCACUUAUAUUGACAUUUAAUCAUAUAAUUUUACUAAUUUCUGUAUAUAUUUGCAGGGAUCAAAAUGCCAAUCCGUCUUCUCGCCUUUCUGGUCACAAGCAACUAGCUCAUCGCAUGUGCAUUUAUGGUGAAGGGUAUCGUGCUGGAGAUUGGAGCUCGUGCUUGUCACAUGUUGUCUCUAUAAUUUUGCAUAACAAUCGUCUUUCAGUUGGCCUCGACUCGCACAUUUUCCACAGCUUCAAGUUUCUAAAAGUGUUAGAUAUGGAGUUCACUAGAAUUAGUUCUUUCUCAUUUGAUCUAGUCUACCUCAGGUAUUUUGCUGCAGAAACGUCUCGCUUUUCAAACAAAGCCGGUUGUCGGGAACUUGAAACUCUGAAAUUCAAAUCUCUCAGUGAAAUGUCACUACCCAUUACACUCUGGGAGAUGGAUAAAUUGAGACAUGUGGAUAUUUCCGAUUGCAGCUUCACCAGUGAAAUUUCAAGAGAAUUGAUUGAGAACUCCAAAGACCUUCAUGAUCUGCAAACUCUAUCCACUCCGUGUUUUUCUUGUGCACAGGAAGCGGAAUUGAUUUUGAGAAAAACACCUAAUCUUCUGGAACUGAGAUGCAAAGUCAAGGGUGUUGAUUACUUUCAGCGCUAUGUAUUGAACUUUCCAGCACGGAUUGAAACGCUCAAGAUUCAUCUUAGCUACACACCUGACACUAAAACAAUCCCCUUCCGCAUCUCCGCGCCAACUCUCACAAACUUGACACUGAAGAACUUUUACCUAUAUCAUCAGCAUUUAUCAGAAAUUGGUUCACUUCAGAACCUUCAAGUGCUCAGUCUGAAAGGUAUUUCCUUUAAAACUUAUAAAUGGGAAGUGCGCAAUGACGAGUUCCCUCAGCUCAGAGUCUUGAAAUUACAUGCUGGAAAAGUUCACUUUGAAAAUUGGUCUGUCGCGGAUGAUGCCUUUCCUAACCUUGAACGCUUGGUUUUGAGGGAUUGCAAAUUUCUUAAGGAGAUCCCUUCUUGGUUUGGAGAAAUCUCUUCUCUGAAGUCCAUUGAGGUAAGGAAUUGCAAUAAAAAUGUUGACAAGUCAGCCAGUGAUAUCAGGGAAACACAAGUUGAAGAUUACCAGAAUUCCAAGUUCGAGGUCUUUAUCACCAGAGAGAAUAACAAGUCAGAUUCAGGUACGCAACUCAUAAAAUUUAACUAUGACCAUUCUAAAACUCUGUGAAUUCAUUUCUUCUGUUACUCUAACUUCCUUUUUUAAAGGUAAAAUUCUUGAAAUAGCACCAAGGUUUGAAAUACUAUUGUGCACCUCGACUAAUUCUAUAGGUACCUACUACCUCUAACCGCACAUGUACUAGAUAACUGAUGAUCAAAAGAAAUCAACUAGUGACUUCAGAAGAGACCCAUGAGGUCUCAAGUUCAAAUCCAGUAGAGGCAAAAACACUAUGCGAUGAUGGGGAGAGUUACCAGGUACCUAUGUUGGUGGGAGAAAGCAGGUACCCCUAGAAUUACUCAAAAGUGCGCACAAGCUAGCCCAAAUACCAUGGUUAAUUAUACCAAAAAAAAAAAAAUCAUUGUGCUCUUACUUUCUGUUUGGGUAUGUUAUUGUAGUAGUACAACAUUUUUGAGCAAUUAACUCAUUGGAACCUUUUCUUUUUUAACAGAUUAUGAAGACUAGAGUUGUAUCAGGAGCUGUUUAGAAGAUCAGUAUGUACUUUUUUUAGAAGCUUAAUUAAGAAAUCAUGUACUUUUGGUCUUGAAUGUAUUGAGUAACAUUGAAUCCAUGUUGGACUAUAGUUAUUAUAUGAGCUAUUUAUAAUAUUUCUAAAUUUCUUUUUCUUCUUACGUUAGUCCAUUUACACUCAUCUUUCAUGCUAUGGAGGAAGAACUUUGACGUAACCGGUAAAGUUGUUGUCAUGUAACUAGAAGGUCAUGUACGAGUUCGACAUGUGGAAAAUACCUCUCGCAGAGAGUUUAGUGCAUUAGGCUACCCUAAUUUUGUACUCGUUUUGUAUUCCUUCCAAUGCCUGCUACUCAAACCCUCUAUCCUAUCUCGGGGUCACGUCAAGUAGAUUCCACUUUAGAGAUAAGUUUUUUAUCUUAAUCGAUCAAAAUAGAUUAAGACCGUCAAAAGUUACUUAGUCUCAUUCGAGAAUUUAAUCUCCUUAGUGUGACAAAGAGCCCAUUCAAUAGCAUUUGUGCCAGCUUGAAAGGACGUACUACCAUGAUAUCUAAUGCUCUCUCAAUGUCAAUAGGGACUCAACAACUUUUGGUAAAAUAUAAUAAAAGUAACGUCGAUAAGGAUUCAACGACUUUUUGGUGAAAUAAAAUAUAUAAAAGUAAAGUAACUACUUCCUAAAAUUAUCCAAUUUGUAGACCACAAGUUACCUUUGUCUAUGAACCUUUUUUGUUAACUUUAAUGAGUAAUUCAUUUGUUUAUUUCCCUCUUGUUAUUAAAGCUAAAGAAGUCUGGCAAUAAUUUAUACAACAUUUGGUAUGGUAGAAAAAAAAGUUAUUUAUAUAUAAAAUUAAUACAAGAUUUGGUUGACAAUUUAGUAACCCACAAUCCACAUAACUAAUAUUAUGAGUGAACCUAUAUAUUAUUUUAUGCAUGAUAGAAGGUGGAAUAACUAAUACAUGAAAAACUAAUUCCAUAUAAAAUAAUGGCUUAAGUCAUCAGUGGCCCCUUAAAGUUGUCCGCAUAAUUCACUUAGACACCUCAUCUAAGGCUUGUAUCUAUUGAACACCUCUACCAUUCUGAAUUUGAACCAUUUGAACAUUUUUUUGAGAAUAAGCCAAAAGUAGAAAAUGUGUGAAAUACACUCGCGCUGACAUGUCAAUUUGACUAAUUAUAUACUGACAUGUGUAAUUUUUUAAUCCAAAAAAUUAUUUAAACAUUAUAUUAAAAGUAAAAAAAAAAGGAAAUUAUUUUAAAGUUAAAAAAAAAUGAAAAAAAACUUGAACUUAAACCACCCCACUUCCCCUGCUAUCCACUGAAGCCCAACUCACAUUUCCCUCUACAAUACCACCCCGUUAAUGGCGACCCUCCCUCUCCCUGUACAGUGCCAUCUCCAACACGACAAAUCUUCUUUUCCAUUAGCCUAUUUUUCAAUUAUAACUUUCUUCUUCGUCUCGUUUUAGGUAGAGAAAGAUGGGGAAAAAAAUCUCGCCGGAAAAUUAAUAAGUUCCGAUUGUCAUUGUCGGAAAAAAUGGAGUUAUUUCGAUUUUUUUGUGUUUCAUAAGAACAUCCUUACAUUCUGCCAAUAUACAUCAAUUUAAAGUCAAAACAACACAUUCAGGACAAAUCAAAAAACUUCAAUAAAAAUUUGACCAAAGCAAAUAAUAAAUAAAAAUUUAACACCAAAUUACUAAAUUAACAGCAAAGAGACAGACCCAAAACUUAAAGCACUUUACAAAUUAAACAUGAUGAAAAUGACGGUGAUAAUGGUGGAAUGGUGGUCAGCCAAUCCUAAUAUGGAGGACAACGGAGGAAGGGAUGCCAAAGAAGAUGAAGAAGAAAUAAUAUUUUUUUUCCAAAAAAAAAACGCUCAAUUUAAAACCUUUCACGCGCCUAAAGGGUGUGAAUCACAAACAAUGUGCCACCUAGGCAAAAAAUGUUCAAAUGGAUCAAAUUCAGAAUGGUAGAGGUGUUCAAUAGGUACAAACCUUAGUUGAGGUGUCUAAGUGAAUUAUGCAGACAACUUUAAGGGGCCUCAGAUGACUUAAGUCUAAAAUAAUACAUUGGUUCACUCAUAACUAAUUAAUACAUUACUAAUAUGUACAUAACUCUAACCAGCUACCAAACGAUAAUUGUGUGAGGUAAAUUUGGUUAGUUUUAAUUGACUAUUGAGAUGCCCAUCACAUGUUUGAUAAAAUGCCUGAAAGAGAUUGAAAGCAUGUGUGUGUGUGUCCAUUUGCAUCCCCUUAAUUAAUAUUCAUGUGAUCAAGGGUGUUUGAAAAUUGAAACUGCAGUAUAUAUCUCUAAGAAGUUGUUUUUGAUCGAUAUUCAUAGUAUUAUCUUCUAUAUGCAUAGUAUAAUAUUUCGACAAAGGGUGUUCGAGUGACCACCCUUAGGUCAAUGUAGCUAUGCGAAAAGCAAUAGAUCCCAUGAAUGCUAGAACAUUUGGAAGUUUUAUCAUCCUUAGUAGCUGAAAUCCAUACUGUAUCACUCGUCGAAGCCAGAGAUUGAUCUAAGUAUUCAUUUUUUGAGUGAUUCUAUACUCUUAAUUGUUUAGUUCCUUAUAUUGUGCUCCUUGCAAGUUGAACUAUAAUUAUAUAUAUGAACUGUCUUUAGUAUUUCUAGGCUUUUAUUUUCUUCUUUUAAUAGAUACUCUUCGAUUUGUGAACUAUAAACAUAUUGCAGCACUUUUAUUUACCGUUUUCUUGUGUGAUUAUUCAGAUCUAAUGAUUGUUUGAGCUUCUCUAAUCAGUUUUUUUUCCCUCCGUAGGAGCUCCCACUUUCUUUGCUCCCUUGGUGACUCGAACUCACAACGUUACUAUGGGAAGUGAGGGGUGUUUACCAUCCGAGCAACUCCCUCUUAUCAGUUACAUAUUAAGAAAAGGCUUAAUAGUUCGGGAUCCCCUGAACUUGACACCUUUUGUUCGGUGUACACCUGAACUAUUCUAAAUGGCCUAGUCUCAGCAAGUAGUUCUCUUUAUAGUCAGUCAAAACACUUCCAAGAAUAAAACUCUGUUACUUCCUAGAUUAUAAGUCUAGCUAUCUGAAUAGGGCCCAAGCUGGUUCAUACUUCUUAUCUUAAUAAUAAAGGUGAGUCAUCCUAGGAUUAGCAGUCAGAGAGAGAAUGCUGAGUUCACACGGGACACUAGCUGUUAAUUAAUCGGCUCAACUAAUUAAUCAUGUCAUCAAGUUGCUUUUAGUGUAUAAUAAUGAAUUGUUUAUCUUAUAAUGUGGGCAAUAAUGGAGUAGCAUAUUAAGAUAUAUUAUGCUUUUGUGACUUGAACAAACUUGCCAAUUCAAAAUUGAUUUUUAAGCUUAUGUCAGUGGCCCUACACUUGAGAAACUAGUGUGUUGUACAGUUGAUAAAAUGUUACUUAGCAUGUAAUGUCGUAGUAUCAAACAUCUGAGUUCAAAAUUCAUCACAGAUUCUUUUAGUCACCUACUUUUGAGAGAAGAUGUCUUGGGAACGAAUUCAACAACUUUCCGAUAUGUUAAACUUCCCUAAAACUUCAAUAGAUAGUGUCAUGCUCUUUACACUGGAACGCAAAUUCUGUGAUAUUUUCAUUAGCUUGCAGAGUUUCACAGAUGAACCUAACAUGCUGGAUGUCACUCGGAAAAUCCAAACUCUAUUUCAAGAUGCUGUAUUUGACCUUUCUCCACUGUACCUAACUGAGUACUUUGAUCUCUAUGCCUCUGAGGUUCAAAGCAAGAUUUUAUUGACCAAGAGGGAAAUUAGAGCCAAAUACUCCUUUCCUAAAAUAUCAUUACAACUUCCAGCCAAGUUUGUUAAGGAUAUCAUCCCUUCUGUGCUAGAGAAUAUUGGUGGUCUAGUGAAGAUUCAUGAUCCAUAUUCACCUCUUUAUAUUCCCGAAACAGUAUUGGAACAUAUAGAAGAUGUUUCAAAGGAAUUGAAAUUGCUGCUAAAUUUUGUCUGCUUUGCAGCAGAGAAGUUCAUAGAGCCUCAGAGCCAACAUCAUGUUAAUUUCCUCACUCAUGUUUUAGCUGUGUCCGGCCACAUAUCAACGCUUAUCUGGAUGUAUUUACCAGACUUGGCUCCAGAGCAAAUGAAUGUUAUGCUUUCUGAUUUCUUGCGAAUGAGGAUUAAGCCAAUUCAACCAUGCAUCUGCAAGAUCUAUGUUGAUGUCUUGCUAUCAUUAAAGUCGACAAUACAAUCAGGAUGGUGUACCAACAUCGGAAGUGAGGAUGUAAUUGACAGUGAAGGCAGGUUUUUGGAGACCAUCGUACACAAUUUGGUGGAGGUGCCAACUAAUAGUAACUCUAGUCAGAGAGUUGCUUUGAAGGAUCACUUGGAAAUCCUUCAAAAGAUGCUCAACCUUUUGAGAGCCAAGUUCUUGAUUUGUCACCGAGAGGAGUGAACAUCACACAAGUUCUUGAUUUGUUAAGCAACAUUCAACGUCUAAGCAUAGACAUCUACCUCACCAUUCGGAAGGCGUUCCAAUCUAAUUUGCCUAGGAUUCAUGGACUAGGCUAUGUUGAUUGCCUUUUAAACAACCUGAAGAAGUUCCAAAUCCUCCAGUCAGAUUCACUAGCUUCUGUCAUGGACAAACUUCAAUUACUUCAGAAGGAAUUUGAGAACUUGCAACCUUUUCUACAGGUUGUUGCAGAAGAGCGAAACAAUGACCUCGACGAAAUUCAACGUUGUGCUACACAAUUGAUUGGCAAAGCACAUGAGGUAGAAUACAUAGUUGAUGCUUGUAUAAGCAAAAAAGCUCCUGAACUCCCAUCUUGUUGGUGAGACUUUGAUUCCCCACAUCGUGAUUCUUCCUCAUUUCCCCUUCCCCUACGAAUUUUUUUUAAAAAUAAAAUAAAAAUUUAAACUAACAAUACAGUACAAUAUAAUUGAUAUCAACCAUCCAAACAAGGUGCAACGGGUUGUCUGGUAGCUGUAUGAGAAACAAAUUAUCCAUAUGUUAAUUUUCGUAUAAUUUAUAUGAUGUUUCAUAGGUAGAUAAAUUAUAACUUCGUAUAAUUUAAAGACUAACUUUUGACUCAUAAGUUAAAAAUUAUAACUUGUGAUUUUUUUAACAUUUUACCUUAAAAUCAAUUGCUUAUAAGUACUUUAAUAGUUUACCUAAAUUAACACUUCAAAAGUCGUUAGAUAAAGUGUAUAAGAACAAUGCUAAAUAAAAUGUAUUAGUAAUGCUUGCAUCAAUUAUACAUAGAUUAUUUUCAUGCAUUAAAAAUUUACAAAGAUAUGUUUCACUAUUAUGGUGGAAAAGAUGUAAAAAAAAAAGAAAGAUUUUGAGGGGGCAAUUGAGUGAUUAAUCAUGCUAAUGCAUGCAUUAAAACGAUUGCAUUGCGAAUAUUUAGAAAUUCAUGGUAUUAGCAAUACACAGCUAUACAUAGAUUAGAAAAGAGUAGCAAACAAAGUAGUAGUAAUAGACAAGGGUAAUGCAUGCAUUAUUUUCUAAAUAACGACAACUAAAGGAGAGAAUGGAUAAUAAGUAGCAAGCAGAGCUCAUAGCAUAGAGUCUAUUCUGGUAGGCAAUCUUGUGAAGAAAUUGAGUGGAGCAGAUGGUAGGUUGUGAUGGAACCAUGGAUGUCUUAACACAUAAAAUCCAGUGACAAGAAUCACAACUCGAAAACCCAUGAAAUAGAGAACAAUGACAGCAAUCAAGCAGGAAAUAACAAACAGUUUGGUCACUCUAGGGUCUCUCCAUGACAGCAAAGAGUGCAGCCUCUCCCCUUGAUUAGCCAUGUCACCAACCACAUUCUGAAAACUUCCAGCAAUACUUUUCAAACGCUCAUACCUUAUCCGAACAAUAUCAGUUGGACGUGAAGUAGGGAAAGUAUCAAACUCCUCGUCCAGUUCAUCAGGAUGAGCAUCAUCAGCACAAGAAAGACGAAUGUCCAUGAAGGGAGGACGCCUAGGCCUAUAUCUAUAGUUCCAAACUACGAUUAAGGAGAGCGAGAGGAAGAUGGUAGGCAGAAUAAGCUCCGGAUAUAGAACUAGUAUCAAGAACAAGACAUGGAUCACAAGAGUCGUAAUGGGAUUUUUCCAAUUGCAAAUUUGAUCAAACCAUUUCCAAAUAGCAAUUAAUCCACCUAAAACAUCCAUAAUUCUUAAAAAGUUGGCUCUGAUUUUCCUCAUACUCCACAUGUCAGACUUGACAUCUAACAUAUACUCCACUAUCUCUUUCCUCAAAGGUGGCUCAGCACGACUCAACCACAUAGAGACCAUCUGACUAGCCUGAUGCCUCAAGUUGUCCAGCUUAAUUAGUUUCUCAAACUGAUUACCUUCAACAAUUAGUGGAUGAAUAUGGUGCAUUUUGGGUAACAGAGGCUGAGAGAACAAAUGCAUCAUAUUCAUUAAUGAUGAGCAAUUAAACCUAACUGCCAAGUGAAUUUCACCCAUCUUCUUUACCCCAGUAGGAUGCAACACCAGUAGCGGAUAAGAAUAUGUGUAGACACGAUCUGUCUCGAGAGCUGAAAGACGGAUCCUGACCUUUCCAAUCCUCGAGUCCCUAGCCUGGCCUCCAGGUUUAUCUCCUCCAUGUAGAUGACAAUUAUCAAAUACACCAAUGGUUAUGACAGUGCAGGGAUCAAAUACUUCCCAAGUGUAUUGCUCGUUCCACUUGGGAGCAAGACUAUCUAUAAUUGUCCUUGUUUGGACCCACUUGUGCCCAUAUUUGGCAACACAAUAGGCAUCUGUCGAAGCCCUCCCAUCCUUUGUUUUCAUCGGCGGUAGUCCCUGAGCAUUCAGAAUACCCAAUUCAAGGACACCAAUGCUGGAUUUCUGCAACUGUUUUGCAGUUGGUCUAAGAUCACCACUACUGUAGUCUAUUGGUUCAUCCAGAACAUGGUACCCUCCUUCUAAAUAUAACCUCAUCUGAAUCCUGCUUGCAAAGCUUGUUUCCUUCUCCUUUUCUCCCUCAACAAUAGCAUGCUUUUCAAGAUUAUACCACUUGCUGUACAUAGGUCUGUGGUUCAACCUCCUCUCAAUGUACUGCAAAUGAAUAAGACAUUUUCCAAGUAUUACAUCUUUGUUUGGUGCAACUCUAUCUUCCACGCUCAAAAUCAAUGGCUCCUCAAAUGGUUCUGCUGCUACAAAAAUCAAAUCCUCAUUCCAAAUGGGAUUAAUAGUCUUGCUCCUGGAAACUUUGGUUAUCAAUUCCUGAUUUCCAAGGAUGGCCUUCACGUAAACUUCUGGAAACCUACUUCUGUCAGCGGAAAUUAAGUCCUGAGCCUCAAUCACAUUAACUCUAAGGUACCACAGCUUUGGUGAGAAGUAAAUCUUUGACCUUAUAUUCACAAGAGAAUCAGCACCACUGACAGUGGCUGCAUCCGAAUGCCAAGAUUCUGCAAAGGCUUCAUCAGCUUGAGUACCCAUCCAAACAGCCAUCAUCAACUCUCCUUUAACUUUGCUACCACUUCCGUCCUCCAACCUAUACCACUGCGGAGCAAGAGGACUAUCUGGGGGGACCCUUUUAGGGAUCUCAUUCAAAUCAAACAUAACACGACCAACAGAAUCAUCCUUAUCUUUCACGUUCACCUCAAGAACGGAAACCUGAAUCUGAUCCAUUGAAAAUGCAAACACCUGAUUCCAUUCAGGAUUCGUUUUCUUCACAAAAUGACGAGUUGUACCACUAUAGUUUCCCAGCCUAACCUCAACAUAAGGAUCAAGAUCCUUCCCAGGUAAAUCUUUCGCUUUCACCACCCGGACAUAAAGAUACUGCAUUUGCUCAACCAAAUCAUAGGUCCUAGUAAACAUAUCACCAGUAACCUUCCCUCCAUCAAGGUGGGCUGAAAAAUCUUCUUGAGGUGGUCUCUGCAUUUUUAAACCUUUCUACUUCUCCACCACAAUUUAGCCAAAUGUCCAACAGAUAACAAAACAAAUCCUAAAUAAUAUCUCUGAGGAACAACUCAAAACUACACUAAUACUCAAGAAACUUCAUAUACAACACAAUCCAAGUUUGUUUUAUCCUAAUUCUAACUUAAGGUUUAAAAAGAACCUCAUGAAGGAUAACCCCAAACUGCCAAAAUCAUUCACAAUCUCAGAUCUGGUUCAGCUGAAUGCUUCACCCUGCAAAACAUUUUUUAAGCUUAAAAAACCAUAUUUAUACAAAUAAGAUAUAGCAAGUACAAUGAAUAAAGUUUAUCAACAAACUCAGAGGUGGUCAGGUGAACACCCUUCACUGAAAUAUUAUAUCGUGUAUAUAAGUAUAAAUGGUUAAAUAUCACACUUUGCACACAGUUUUGGGCUAAAAUCAUCCUUGAAGUAUAACCCAAACUUAGUAUACAUCCUUAUACUAUAAUUAUGAACAAAAACAUCUUUUAACUAUACCAAACUUGACAACAAGCAUCCUUCUGUUAAUUUUUGUUAAAAAACUAAGAGCUGAAAUUAAAAAAUGUGUCAUUGACAAUACUAAGUUGCCUUGCCUUCAAGUUGGAAAUACACAACAACAAAAAUAUACUUAGGGCCUGUUUGGAAGGACACCCUGGUAAUUAGAGUCGAUGAAAGCUUGAAAUGUAAAAAUGAUUUCAUUUUAAGUUGAAUUUUCUCCUACUCCCUCCUUUUAUUUUUCUGCUAUUUUGUUCACUUCAUAUCAAAUUAAACAAAAAUAUUACACAAUUUGAUUUUCAAAAUUUUGGUACGUUUAUUCAUAAAAAAAUAUUAAUAUUACGCAGUGUGAAUUUAAAAUUUUAGUGCACCCAUUCAUCAAAAAAAAAAAAUUGCUUAUGUAAUUUUUGAACAUGCUUCAUGAAAUUUCUGACUGUCCACUUAGUCAACUCAAUCAAAAAAUACCCUUCUCCCAUACCAUAAAAAGAGGGAAAAAAUAAUUAAAACUUUCUAAUGUCAAGAUUAUAGCUCAACAAAUACCAAGAACGUAAAAAAAAAAAUAGAUUUUUCAAGAAGAUAUUUAUAAGUAACUUAUAAAUUCGAAACUAAAAAUUAUAAAUCGGUAACACUUAACUUUUGACCCUUUAUUUGGGGUUUAUUUUCAGCCUUAAACUUUUUGCGUUUACAAAUACUUUUAAAACUUAAAAAAAAAAAAAAGAAGCUAAAAAUCACUUAAAAUAAGCUAAUUUAAAUACACUUAUUUAAUUUUUUACAUGAAAUAAAUAAAUAUUAAAUAAGAGAAAUGAAUAUACCUUGAAGGGUUCAUGGGAGGUGAGUGAAAGAUGGUAUUUUUGCUGAUAAGUUUCUAAAGAUUGGAAUUUUGAGGAGAAAAAAACAAAAAGGUUUUGGUUGUUUUUUGGUAUCAAACUGAAGGAGAAUGGUUUAGAGAGGGAAAAAAAAUUAAGAGACAACGAAAAAUUAGUCUGACAUGGUGGGUGAGGGAUUAUUUUUAAUAAAAAAUGUGUUGGACUAGAAUAACUAAUAAAAAUAAGUUAUAAAUAAAAAUUAUGAGUGGUGAUGGCUGCAACUUGCAAUGGAAAAAUGGUGAUGGGAGCUUUCUGUCAAAGAAGAAGAAGAUAUAAAAUCUUUUCUUUUUUUGCUAAAAAAUUAUCCUUUUCACGGUCACACACUUUAUUACGUAGGUAUAAAUCUUAAUUGAGGUGUUUAAGUAAAAUAUGCGAACAUGACUAUCUAUGACCUAAGCCUUAAAUAAAAAAUUUGAAAAUUAUCUUCAUUUAUAUAAUAGUUUCAGAUCUAUACCAAUGCUCUAUCACGAAGUCUCCAUUUUUUCCAAUUCUCCUAACUGGCAGCGGCAAUCCGGUGGCAAAUCGAUGGUGGACUGGUAAUUUAUGAUUUCAUUUAUCUAUAAUUGAGAUGCGAAUUUUUUUUGAAUCAGUAUCCUACAUCUAAUUAAAGUGAUGAUUUGGAGUUGAAUAAUUAAAAUUUAAUUACAAACAAAUAAGACUACUAAACAUAAAAGCAGUAGUUCAUUUUUUCCUAACCUAACUUUAAAUAUAAGAAAAAUAGAAAAUCAUAAUUUUGGAUAUUCUAGAGUCUUUUAGUGAAAGAUAAAAAGUUGAAGCAUUUCUGAGUCUUAGCACUUUUAGUUAUGUGAUUAUAGAAAGAUUUUAAUUAUGAUGAGAUAGAUUUGAUAUGACGGGGAAAUUCUUCAAAUAAGAUAGGUAAAACGCUCUCUUCGAAAGAGAUAUAUACACUACAUCAAAAAUGAUAUUUAGCAACAGUUAGAUAAUGAUAAUAGUUUAAUUGCCACUAAAUAUAUAUAGUUUUAGUGGUAAUUAACACUCUUUGUAAAUGUAUCUAAAGCCUAUAGCGACAUUAGAUCUAAUAAUAAUUAACUAAUGUGAGUAAAAAUACUUGUUCAAAGGGAUUGGCAGUGCUUUUGUAAGCAUACUCAUAGAGAAGAGAGAAGGUAAGAUCGCGGCCGACUGGUUUGGGCAUCUGAAGCUCUGAAGCAGCCGCCGGGUUAUCAACAGCUUUUGACCUGUCUGCCUGGACAUAAAAAUACCUAAAAAAGAAGAAAGAAAAAGGAAAACGUUAUUGUAAAUGGCACGAGAAAUGGACUCACUCUACAAAUAAUUGUGUAGAUUUCAGUCCGUUAAAAGUAGUUGUUUUUGUUACAGUGAUACUUGUACUGCUUCUGCCUCUCAAGGACUUUAUGCAUUGAAUUCCUUUAUACCUUUAGUCUAACAACUAUCUGUUGGUUGCAAUCAGUAUGAAAGCAUCUGAGUUGCUCUCUCCUUCUUCCCCUUUGCAGAAGCAUCACAGAUUCUUUUAGUCACCAACUCACUGAGAGAAGAGAUGUCUUGGGAAAAUUCGCAACGACUGUUCAAUAUUGUAACCAUCCCUAAAAUUUCGAUAGACAAACUCCAGCUCUUCACACUGGAACGCGAAUUCCACAAAUUUUCAUUAGCUUCCAGAGAUUCACAGAUGAACCUAACAUGCUAGAUGUCACUCAGAAAGUCCAAACUCUGUUUGAAGAUGCUGCAUUUAUCCUUUCUCCACUGCACCUAACUGACAACUUUGAUGUCUGUGCCUCUGAGGUGCAAAACAAGAUUUUGUUAAUCAAAAAGGAAAUAAGAGCCAAAUACUCCUUUCCUAAAAUAUCAUUACAACUUUCAGCCAAGUUUGUUAGUGAUAUCAUCCAUUCUGUGCUAGAGAAUAUUGGUGGUCUAGUGAAGAUUCAUGAUCCGUAUUCACCUCUUUAUGUUCCCGAAACAGUAAAGGAACAUAUAGAAGAUGUUUCAAAGGAAUUGAAAUUGCUGAGAAAUUUCGUCUACUUUGUUUCACAGAGGUUCAUAGAGCAUCAAAGUUAUUCUUUUCAUCUUAUUUUCUUCACUCAUGUUUUAGCUGUGUCUGUCCACACAUCAAUGCUUCUCUGGUUGUAUGUACCGGACUUGGCUCCAGAGCAAAUGAAUGUUAUGCUUUCUGAUUUCUUGCGAAUGAGGAUUAAGCCGAUUCAACCAUGCAUCCGCAAGAUCUAUCUUGAUGUCUUGCUAUCUUUAAAGUCGACAAUACAAUCAGGAUGGUAUCCCAACAUCCGAAAUGAGGAUGCAGUUGUACAGCGAAGGGGGAUUUUUGGAGACCAUCCUACACAAUAUGGUGGAGGUACCAACUAAUAGUAACUCUAGUCAGAGAGUUGCUUUGAAGGAUCACUUGGAAAUCCUUCAAAAGAUGCUCAACCUUUUGAGAGCCAAUAUCUUCCGUAUGCCAAUAAAAGAUCUUGAAUUUCUUCUUCGAGAUAUAGAGAUUGUGGUUAUUGAUGUUGGACUUAUGGUAUACUCAGUAUAUGAAGAUGAGGAGGAGAAGCAAGACAUGGCACUGGGAGGAGUGAACAUCACACAAGUUCUUGACUUUUCAAGCAACAUUCAACGUCUAAGCAUAGACAUCUACCUCACCAUUCGGAAGGCGUUCCAAUCUAAUUUGCCUAGGAUUCAUGGACUAGGCUAUGUUGAUAGCCUUUUAAACAACCUGAAGAAGUUCCAAAUUCUCCACUCAGAUUCACUAGCUUCUGUCAUGGACAAACUUCAAUUACUUCAGAAGGAAUUUGAGAGCUUGCAACCUUUUCUACGGGCUGUUGCAGAAGAGCGACACAAUGACCUUGACGAAAUUCAACAUUGUGCUACACAAUUGAUUGGCAAAGCACAUGAGGUAGAAUAUAUAGUUGAUGCUUGUAUAAGGGAAGAAGCUCCUGUCUGCUGCCUCGAGCAUUGGAUCUUGGAUAUCAUAGAGGAUAUUACUCUUAUCAGAGAAGAGGUAGCAGAGAUUCGUGAAAAGAAAAUGGAUUUGGUAGCAUUGAACACUGUCCCAGUUCAUACAUCAAAUUUGGCAAGGUCUCCAAUGAUGAAUGAAGAAAUUAUUGGUUUUGAGGAUGUCAUAGAAAAGUUAAGAGACCAACUAAUAAAAGGCA
RNAcentral lists this long non-coding RNA (25157 nucleotides) under Solanum tuberosum (potato). Its description in RNAcentral is "long non-coding RNA (STUB_LNC011928)". The record is from RNAcentral. Lineage: Eukaryota; Viridiplantae; Streptophyta; Magnoliopsida; Solanales; Solanaceae.